This 373-nucleotide ribosomal RNA is filed under the name uncultured bacterium. RNAcentral's name for it is "bacterial SSU rRNA". It matches the Rfam family "Bacterial small subunit ribosomal RNA", at positions 523 to 898 of the family's 1533-position model. The record is from RNAcentral.
AUACGGAGGAUGCAAGCGUUAUCCGGAUUUAUUGGGUUUAAAGGGUGCGUAGGCGGUUUUAUAAGUCAGUGGUGAAAUACUGGAGCUUAACUUUAGCAUUGCCAUUGAAACUGUAAGACUUGAGUUUGGUUGAGGUAUGCGGAAUGUGUAGUGUAGCGGUGAAAUGCAUAGAUAUUACACAGAACACCGAUUGCGAAGGCAGCAUACUAAGCCAAUACAGACGCUGAGGCACGAAAGCGUGGGGAUCGAACAGGAUUAGAUACCCUGGUAGUCCACGCCGUAAACGAUGCUCACUCGUUGUUGGCGAUACACAGUCAGCGACUAAGCGAAAGUGAUAAGUGAGCCACCUGGGGAGUACGCUCGCAAGGGUGAA